CACUAGUGAUUAGAGUUUGAUCAUGGCUCAGAUUGAACGCUGGCGGAAUGCUUUACACAUGCAAGUCGAACGGCAGCACGGGGGCAACCCUGGUGGCGAGUGGCGAACGGGUGAGUAAUACAUCGGAACGUGCCCAGUCGUGGGGGAUAACGUAGCGAAAGCUACGCUAAUACCGCAUACGAACUCUGGUUGAAAGCGGGGGAUCGCAAGACCUCGCGCGAUUGGAGCGGCCGAUGGCAGAUUAGGUAGUUGGUGGGGUAAAGGCUCACCAAGCCGACGAUCUGUAGCUGGUCUGAGAGGACGACCAGCCACACUGGGACUGAGACACGGCCCAGACUCCUACGGGAGGCAGCAGUGGGGAAUUUUGGACAAUGGGCGCAAGCCUGAUCCAGCCAUUCCGCGUGCAGGAUGAAGGCCCUCGGGUUGUAAACUGCUUUUGUACGGAACGAAAAGGCUUUCUCUAAUACAGAGAGCUGAUGACGGUACCGUAAGAAUAAGCACCGGCUAACUACGUGCCAGCAGCCGCGGUAAUACGUAGGGUGCAAGCGUUAAUCGGAAUUACUGGGCGUAAAGCGUGCGCAGGCGGUGAUGUAAGACAGGUGUGAAAUCCCCGGGCUUAACCUGGGAACUGCAUUUGUGACUGCAUCGCUGGAGUGCGGCAGAUGGGGAUGGAAUUCCGCGUGUAGCAGUGAAAUGCGUAGAUAUGCGGAGGAACACCGAUGGCGAAGGCAAUCCCCUGGGCCUGCACUGACGCUCAUGCACGAAAGCGUGGGGAGCAAACAGGAUUAGAUACCCUGGUAGUCCACGCCCUAAACGAUGUCAACUGGUUGUUGGGUCUUCACUGACUCAGUAACGAAGCUAACGCGUGAAGUUGACC
RNAcentral lists this ribosomal RNA (877 nucleotides) under uncultured bacterium. Its description in RNAcentral is "bacterial SSU rRNA". It matches the Rfam family "Bacterial small subunit ribosomal RNA", at positions 1 to 870 of the family's 1533-position model. The record is from RNAcentral.